UGGCCUGCCAUUGAUAAUUUAAAAGGCCGCGGUAAUAUGACCGUGCAAAGGUAGCAUAAUAAUUAGUCUUUUAAUUGAAGGCUUGUAUGAAUGGUUGGACAAAAGGAAUACUGUCUCUAUUAUAUUUAUUGAAAUUAACUUUUAAGUGAAAAGGCUUAAAUACUUCAGAGGGACGAUAAGACCCUAUAAAGCUUUAUAAAUAAUAUAAAUUUAAUUGAAUUUUAAAUAUAAUAAUUAAAAUUAUAUUACUUAUUUGGUUGGGGCGACAUAAGUAUAAUUAUUUUAACUGCUUUAUAAAUAUACACAGGAUAAGUGAAUAUUAUGUUAAAUGAUCCUUUAUUAUAAAGAUUUAAAGAUUAAGUUACUUUAGGGAUAACAGCGUUAUUUUCUUUGAGAGUUCAUAUCGAAAAGGAAGCUUGCGACCUCGAUGUUGAAUUAAAUUUUCUAUAUAAUGCAGCAGUUAUAUAAGAAGGUCUGUUCGACCUUUAAAUUUUUACAUGAUUUGAGUUCAAACCGGUGUAAACC
This 525-nucleotide ribosomal RNA is filed under the name Epilobocera gilmanii. RNAcentral's name for it is "partial 16S ribosomal RNA". It matches the Rfam family "Archaeal large subunit ribosomal RNA", at positions 1946 to 2696 of the family's 2987-position model. Lineage: Eukaryota; Metazoa; Arthropoda; Malacostraca; Decapoda; Pseudothelphusidae. The record is from RNAcentral.